RNAcentral lists this long non-coding RNA (145 nucleotides) under Mustela putorius furo (domestic ferret). Its description in RNAcentral is "lncRNA (ENSMPUG00000031963.1)". The record is from RNAcentral. Lineage: Eukaryota; Metazoa; Chordata; Mammalia; Carnivora; Mustelidae.
GUGGGGAGAGGGAGGGCAGUUUUCCUGAGGACUCAGCCUGUCCUCAACCCCGACUUCCUCCGGAGACCGUUGUGAGGGAAGGUGAGGGUCUGUGGAGAACUCUGCCUGGUGCGUGCAGCGGGCUCCCCACCGUGGCCUUCGUUUC